CACCGAAGACGCGGCAGCAAUCUUCAUGGUUGCUGGGUAGGAGAGCGUCCUGCGAGGGGCGAAGCGGCCGGGUAACCGUGCCGUGGACUUCGUGGGAGUGAGAAUGCAGACAUGAGUAGCGAGAGACGGGUGAGGAUCCCGUCCGCUGGAUGACCAAGGGUUCCGGGGCCACGUUCGUCGUCCCCGGGUGAGUCGGGUCCUAAGGCGAGGCCGACAGGCGUAGUCGAAUGGAUGAACGGGUGGAUAUUCCCGUACCGACCAUGGACCGGCAAAACCGAGACGGUGAGUACUAACCUCCGCCUCGUGGUGGUUCCUUCCUUCGGGUUGGUGUCGCCGCGUGGUGUUGGGAGCGUAGCCGUAGUAGGUCAGCGCAGGGGUGACACGGAAUGGGAGCCGGCCGCGGAGGUGGUUUUCCGUGGUCAAGCACGCAGCCAGUCAUGUAGGCAAAUCCGCAUGGCGCGCAUGGCGAGGUGUGAUGAUGGGAGCCUUUUGGCUCGAUAUCCGGUUGUCCAGGCCGUCGAGAAAAGCCUCGGCGUGAGGGCCAUGGCCGCCCGUACCCCAAACCGACACUGGUGGUCAGGUAGAGAAUACCAAGGCGAUCGAGCGAAUCCUGGUCAAGGAACUCGGCAAAUCACUCCCGUGCCUUCGGUAUAAGGGAGACCCGCUGGGGUGAACCGGCUAGCCCGGGGAGCUUUGGUGGGUGGCACAGACCAGGGGGUAGCGACUGUUUACCAAAAACACAGGUGCAUGCGAAGGCGAAAGCCGCUGUAUAUGCACUGACGCCUGCCCGGUGCCGGAAGGUUAAGAGGAUCCGUCAAUCCCUUCGGGGACGAAGCGGUGAAUUCAAGCCCCGGUAAACGGCGGUGGUAACUAUAACCAUCCUAAGGUAGCGAAAUUCCUUGUCGGGUAAGUUCCGACCUGCACGAAUGGCGUAACGACUUCCCCACUGUCUCGACCAGGAGCUCGGCGAAAUUGCAGUACGAGUAAAGAUGCUCGUUAAGCGCAGAAGGACGAAAAGACCCCGGGACCUUUACUAUACCUUGGUAUUGGCGUUAGGCGCGGAUUGUGUAGCAUAGGCGGGAGGCUUCGAAGCGUGGGCGCCAGCUCAUGUGGAGCCGCAAGGUGAAAUACCGCUCUGUUCUCGUUUGACGUCUAACCUCGACAAGUCAUCCUUGUCAGGGACAGUGCCUGGCGGGUAGUUCAACUGGGGCGGUUGCCUCCCAAAGAGUAACGGAGGCGCUCAAAGGUCCGCUCAGCCCGGUUGGCAAUCGGGUGUCGAGUGUAAUCGCACAAGCGGGCUUGACUGCGAGGACGACGGUCCGAGCAGGGACGAAAGUCGGAGAUAGUGAUCCGGUGCCGGCGCACGGGCGCGGCAUCGCUCAACGGAUAAAAGGUACCCCGGGGAUAACAGGCUGAUCAUUCCCAAGAGUCCAUAUCGACGGGAUGGUUUGGCACCUCGAUGUCGGCUCGUCGCAUCCUGGGGCUGGAGCAGGUCCCAAGGGUUCGGCUGUUCGCCGAUUAAAGCGGCACGCGAGCUGGGUUCAGAACGUCGUGAGACAGUUUGGUCUCUAUCCUCUGCGCUCGUUGGAAUCCUGAGGAGGCCUGCCCAUAGUACGAGAGGACCUGGGUGGACGAACCUCUGGUAUGCCGGUUGUCGCGCCAGCGGCACGGCCGGUUGGCUACGUUCGGGAGGGAUAACCGCUGAAAGCAUCUAAGCGGGAAGCCUGCUCCAAGAUUAGGAUUCCAUGGAUCUUCGAGAUCCUGUAGCCCGCAUGUUGAACACGUGUUUGAUAGGCCGGAGGUGGAAGCCCCGUGAGGGGUGGAGCCGACCGGUACUAACGGGCGACGGCGACACAA
RNAcentral lists this ribosomal RNA (1857 nucleotides) under human gut metagenome. RNAcentral describes it as "bacterial LSU rRNA". It matches the Rfam family "Bacterial large subunit ribosomal RNA", at positions 1192 to 2925 of the family's 2925-position model. The record is from RNAcentral.